Molecule: long non-coding RNA, 279 nt
Filed under: Mustela putorius furo (domestic ferret)
Lineage: Eukaryota; Metazoa; Chordata; Mammalia; Carnivora; Mustelidae
Description: lncRNA (ENSMPUG00000031985.1)
Source: RNAcentral
GAGGAAGAAGGCUCCCCGCCUACUGCCUAUCACAAGUAGGCAGAGGCAGGCAGAGAGAGAGAGGAGGAAGCAGGCUCCCCACUCAAGCAGAUAGCCCAAUGCUGGACUCAAUCCCAGGACCCUGAGAUCAUGACCCUGAGCGGAAGGCAGAGGCUCAACCCUCCGAGCCACCCAGAGAGAGAGAGGGAGAGCACAAGCAGAAGGAGCAGCAAAGGAAGAGGAAGAAGCAGGCUCCUCACCAAGCAGGGAGCCCGAUAUGGGGCUCAAUCCCGGGACCCC